RNAcentral lists this ribosomal RNA (450 nucleotides) under uncultured bacterium. Its description in RNAcentral is "partial 16S ribosomal RNA". It matches the Rfam family "Bacterial small subunit ribosomal RNA", at positions 354 to 796 of the family's 1533-position model. The record is from RNAcentral.
GUGGGGAAUAUUGGACAAUGGGCGCAAGCCUGAUCCAGCCAUACCGCGUGGGUGAAGAAGGCCUUCGGGUUGUAAAGCCCUUUUGUUGGGAAAGAAAUCCUGUCGGUUAAUACCUGGCGGGGAUGACGGUACCCAAAGAAUAAGCACCGGCUAACUUCGCGCCAGCAGCCGCGGUAAUACGAAGGGUGCAAGCGUUACUCGGAAUUACUGGGCGUAAAGCGUGCGUAGGUGGUGGUUUAAGUCCGUUGUGAAAGCCCUGGGCUCAACCUGGGAAUUGCAGUGGAUACUGGAUCACUAGAGUGUGGUAGAGGGAUGCGGAAUUUCUGGUGUAGCAGUGAAAUGCGUAGAGAUCAGAAGGAACAUCCGUGGCGAAGGCGGCAUCCUGGGCCAACACUGACACUGAGGCACGAAAGCGUGGGGAGCAAACAGGAUUAGAUACCCGUGUAGUCC